CAGCAGUCGCCGCGGGAAUACGUAGGGCGCAAGCGUUAUCCGGAAUUAUUGGGCGUAAAGAGCUCGUAGGCGGUUUGUCGCGUCUGCCGUGAAAGUCCGGGGCUCAACCCCGGAUCUGCGGUGGGUACGGGCAGACUAGAGUGAUGUAGGGGAGACUGGAAUUCCUGGUGUAGCGGUGAAAUGCGCAGAUAUCAGGAGGAACACCGAUGGCGAAGGCGGGUCUCUGGGCAUUAACUGACGCUGAGGAGCGAAAGCAUGGGGAGCGAACAGGAUUAGAUACCCGUGUAGUCCCUGUCUCUUAUAC
RNAcentral lists this ribosomal RNA (304 nucleotides) under uncultured bacterium. RNAcentral's name for it is "partial 16S ribosomal RNA". It matches the Rfam family "Bacterial small subunit ribosomal RNA", at positions 509 to 807 of the family's 1533-position model. The record is from RNAcentral.